GACGAACGCUGGCGGCGUGCUUAACACAUGCAAGUCGAACGGUGAAGCGCCUUCCUUUUUGGUGGGUGUGGAUGAGUGGCGAACGGGUGAGUAACACGUGAGUAACCUGCCCCCUUCUUCUGGAUAACCGCAUGAAAGUGUGGCUAAUACGGGAUAUUCUGGGUCUGUCGCAUGAUGGGUCUGGGAAAGAUAUUGUUUCGGUGGGGGAUGGGCUCGCGGCCUAUCAGCUUGUUGGUGGGGUGAUGGCCUACCAAGGCGGUGACGGGUAGCCGGCCUGAGAGGGUGGGCGGUCACACUGGGACUGAGGCACGGCCCAGACUCCUACGAGAGGCAGCAGUGGGGAAUAUUGCACAAUGGGCGCAAGCCUGAUGCAGCGACGCCGCGUGAGGGAUGGAGGCCUGCGGGUUGUGAACCUCUUUCGCCAGUGAAGCAGGCCUGCCUCGUUUGUGGGUGGGUUGACGGUAGCUGGAUAAGAAGCGCCGGCUAACUACGUG
This 494-nucleotide ribosomal RNA is filed under the name uncultured bacterium. RNAcentral describes it as "partial 16S ribosomal RNA". It matches the Rfam family "Bacterial small subunit ribosomal RNA", at positions 28 to 507 of the family's 1533-position model. The record is from RNAcentral.